UACGGGGGGGGCAAGCGUUGUUCGGAAUUACUGGGCGUAAAGGGCUCGUAGGCGGCCAACUAAGUCAGACGUGAAAUCCCCAGGCUCAACCUGGGAACUGCGUCUGAUACUGGAUGGCUUGAAUCCGGGAGAGGGAUGCAGAAUUCCAGGUGUAGCGGUGAAAUGCGUAGAUAUCUGGAGGAAUACCGGUGGCGAAGGCGGCAUCCUGGACCGGCAUUGACGCUGAGACGCGAAAGCGUGGGGAGCGAACAGG
This 253-nucleotide ribosomal RNA is filed under the name uncultured bacterium. RNAcentral's name for it is "partial 16S ribosomal RNA". It matches the Rfam family "Bacterial small subunit ribosomal RNA", at positions 524 to 776 of the family's 1533-position model. The record is from RNAcentral.